UAUUUGUGGUCAGGUACCUCGAUCUUGCACUGGUAUAGCUACCGUUGCCGAGUAUCAUUAACGGUCCUCGGUGUGGCUUUUUUUCCUAUGCACGGCCAUCAUUUGCUCUCGGAGCUGGGAAAGGUGGAGAGACUAAUCGUGGUUGAUAAUCAACCCACGUUUGACGACCCCAUCCAACAGCUCAUAAUCACCCAGACAAUAUUUAUCCCUUCCGUUAUCAUUCAUAAAACACUGCAAUAAAAUUCCUAAUUAUGACAGCGCCAAUCUAAGGCAUCAAUCUUCGAGUAAUAAUCUCCCAAUUCUAUUAUCCUCUUCCGUUACGAUUCGUCCCAUGAUCUUCUCUCCUUGCCUGGAUCCUCCAAUCUUUUUUAAGGAAAAAAAGCAAUUUGCUUUUAAGUCACAGUAAUAACUUCUCAGACGUUACGUGCAACACCAUUCCUACAUAAACCCUGGACGAGAUCAUCAUCUUGCCAUGUUUCAGUCGAAUCCUUUCUCAACAAUACCAGAGCAUACCCCAUCACUGUUUUACAAUGGGUUCCCAGAUUGCCAGCAGCCCUUCGAAAAGUUCCCAACCGCCUACAAAACUUUCUCCCAUAUUGGUGAGGCCGAAGAAGGCACAAAAUGUAUGACUCGCGUUCGAAUAUCAAUAAAGUGGAAUGAACUAGAUUUCAUGGCGACCAACGAGGUCACCAGCCUGGACGAUUUCAUGCUAGAUGACAACGUAAUUGUCCAAAGUAGUUCAUAAUCUGUCACCUAUGUGCUGUGAAUAUUCACUGAUUCCAUUCAUUUCCAGAGGUCGGUCAAUUACACAACUCUAUUAUCCCAAGUUGGUUGAUAAAACUGUUGUUAUUUUUUCCAAAUUUGUAUUGUUUUCCAUAAUCCUAAUCAUGAUCCACCUUUCUGUUUUUAUAUUUUGUUUUUGUAAAAACCAUUAUAAGACCUUGGAUCACAUUCCUCAAAUGGAUUAAUGGUAGGCAUGGAUGACUCGAGACCGGAUAUUAAAAAAGUAUAAUGAACUAGACUUCAAGGGGGAACAGCAAAGUCAUCAGCUUGGAUGUGUUGCCGAUGGAUGAUAAAUAUUUGUGGCAGGGAGACGAAAUUCACACGUUAGUUUCUAAGAACAUCAUAUGGAGAUUUGAACCCCUGCACUGCAUCAGUAACGUGGGAUAUAGAGGUUUAGCCUCUCGAUUGCGCUGUAGCUGAUUCCUCUCUAUGAAGUUUCACUGAAUUCGAAGAUCUCUAAUCGAGUUGAUAACACCUAUCUCACCGAUACUGUUUCGUGCAAGCCCAUAGUAGUGUUUGAAGGCACAUGUUUAGUUGUUCUUAUCCCUGAUAUCCAAGCAGUAGCAUACAACGGCACAAAGGAUUAUACAAUCAUACCUACAUUCCCUGCUGGACUGCGUGUAGAGGUAUUAUUUUGAAACAUUGAUUUAUUAUUUUAUUUUCUCAUUGAAAUCUCAUAAUACCUACAUUCCCUUACUUGCUGAAGCCUAGAUGCUACCGCAUUGAAUUUUACGGGUUCGUCUGCAUUGUAUGGGAUAUUGUCACAAUGUAUUGAAGUUGAUAUUGGUGGGUUUUGUUAUGAUUCUCUUUUGAUUUUUAUAAAGACAAUUAAUUUUAGUUUUAGGAGUAAACCUCUUUGACAUGAUGCACUUGAUGUGAUUCGGAAGAUAAAGACAAUGAAAAGGUACAUCACAUUUCGAAUGGUAUAGUUACUCGCAGAAGGCGCAUGUAACUACCAUUAUUUAGUUAUCUGUAAAAAAGUUUAGUGGUGAUUAACUGAUUGUCAGGCUAUUCCAGACAGAAAGCAUACUUUUUUUUUAAACCCGAGAAAAAAUGAAUUGUGUGGUAAUGAAUUGAUGAGCUGAAAGUAUUUUCUGAGAAGCUAGAGACUAAUUUGAAAACUGUUAGAAAGGAUUUAUUCAACCUGUUUGAGGACGACAGAGAAUCUGGAAAUGGGAUUUCAAGAUGUUGUCUGAGGGAAUGAGGUGAUUGAUAUUGUGUUAGUGAGGGUUAUCAUACAAGAAAACUGUGAAAUGCUUUCAGAGGGUCAGUGGAAAAGUAUGUAACAUAAGGGUUAAUUAGUAAUGAAUAUGCAUGUUGUCAUUUACUCUUUGAUUGUGUUGAAACAAUGAAGAUUGAAAUGGAAAUUAAAAUAAUGAACUUAAACAA
Molecule: long non-coding RNA, 2172 nt
Organism: Papaver somniferum (opium poppy)
Lineage: Eukaryota; Viridiplantae; Streptophyta; Magnoliopsida; Ranunculales; Papaveraceae
Exons: 4
Source: RefSeq, a predicted model, not a curated record